This 936-nucleotide ribosomal RNA is filed under the name Demequina sp. BR-9. Its description in RNAcentral is "bacterial SSU rRNA". It matches the Rfam family "Bacterial small subunit ribosomal RNA", at positions 56 to 1000 of the family's 1533-position model. Lineage: Bacteria; Bacillati; Actinomycetota; Actinomycetes; Micrococcales; Demequinaceae. The record is from RNAcentral.
UGCAAGUCGAACGGUGAAGCGAGAGCUUGCUCUCGUGGAUCAGUGGCGAACGGGUGAGUAACACGUGAGUAACCUGCCCCAGACUCUGGGAUAAGCCUUGGAAACGAGGUCUAAUACCGGAUACGAGACGAGAUCGCAUGGUCAUCGUCUGGAAAGAAUUUCGGUCUGGGAUGGACUCGCGGCCUAUCAGCUUGUUGGUGAGGUAAUGGCUCACCAAGGCGACGACGGGUAGCCGGCCUGAGAGGGCGACCGGCCACACUGGAACUGAGACACGGUCCAGACUCCUACGGGAGGCAGCAGUGGGGAAUAUUGCACAAUGGGCGCAAGCCUGAUGCAGCGACGCCGCGUGGGGGAUGAAGGCCUUCGGGUUGUAAACCCCUUUCAGCAGGGAAGAAGCGAAAGUGACGGUACCUGCAGAAGAAGCGCCGGCUAACUACGUGCCAGCAGCCGCGGUAAUACGUAGGGCGCAAGCGUUGUCCGGAAUUAUUGGGCGUAAAGAGCUCGUAGGCGGUCUGUCGCGUCUGCUGUGAAAACCCGAGGCUCAACCUCGGGCCUGCAGUGGGUACGGGCAGACUAGAGUGUGGUAGGGGAGACUGGAAUUCCUGGUGUAGCGGUGGAAUGCGCAGAUAUCAGGAGGAACACCAAUGGCGAAGGCAGGUCUCUGGGCCACUACUGACGCUGAGGAGCGAAAGCAUGGGGAGCGAACAGGAUUAGAUACCCUGGUAGUCCAUGCCGUAAACGGUGGGCACUAGAUGUGGGGCUCUUUCCAUGAGUUCCGCGUCGCAGCUAACGCAUUAAGUGCCCCGCCUGGGGAGUACGGCCGCAAGGCUAAAACUCAAAGGAAUUGACGGGGGCCCGCACAAGCGGCGGAGCAUGCGGAAUUAAUUCGAUGCAACGCGAAGAACCUUACCAAGGCUUGACAUAUACCCUUUAUCC